RNAcentral lists this ribosomal RNA (1658 nucleotides) under Triticum aestivum (bread wheat). Its description in RNAcentral is "partial small subunit ribosomal RNA". The record is from RNAcentral. Lineage: Eukaryota; Viridiplantae; Streptophyta; Magnoliopsida; Poales; Poaceae.
ACCCUCGCACCUCACACCACCCCUCCAUCCACCUUUUUGCCAGCGUGAGAGCUUCUUCUUUCUUGCGAGGGAGAGAGGGUAGCGAGCAACCAGGGAGCUAGGCGUCAAUGGCGACCAUAGCCACGAUGACCAUGCUCAAGCCCGCCAAGAUCACGGCCAGGUCGGCGCCUUCGUCGUCACCGUCGUCCAGCACCAAGGUGGCGUCCCCGAGCAUCUCGCUGCGCAGCCUGCAGAAGAACGCGGCCAAGAAGGGGGCCCUGGCCGUGUCGCCGGCGGCCGCGGCCAUGGCGAGCGCCUUCUUCACCUCGCUGGCCUCGUCGGACGCGGCGAUGGCGUCGCAGCGGAUCGCGGACGUGGCGGCGGCGGCGCCCGCGGACGACAACCGGGGCCUGCUGCUGCUCUUCGUGGUGGCGCCCGCGCUCGGGUGGGUGCUCUACAACAUCCUCCAGCCGGCGCUGAACCAGCUCAACAAGAUGCGGUCCGAGAAGGCGCUCGUCGCCGGGCUCGGCAUCGGCGCCGCCGCGGCCGCGGGCCUGGCCGCCGUGCCGGAGCCGGCCUCCGCCGCCGUGCAGGAGCUCGCCGCACUGGCGGCGGUAGUGCCCGCCGACGACAACCGGGGCCUGCUGCUGCUCUUCGUGGUGGCGCCCGCGCUCGGGUGGGUGCUGUACAACAUCCUGCAGCCGGCGCUGAACCAGCUCAACAAAAUGCGGUCCAACUGAGCGUCGUCGUCGUCGUCGUCGUGGCAUCGCAUGCGGUCCGGCCGAGUGGGUUCGUAUGUUUGCGUUGGUCUAUUAAGAGUCGUGGUAGUAGCGUGGAACGUGGUGUGAGUGCCCGCUUGCAUACUCUCUAAUCUUGUUCCUUCCAUUGAUCAAAUGCAGUACAGCUCUUCUUGUUCUCUCUUCUGCUACGUUCAGUGCAAUGUUCUCUUCUGCUACGUUCCAAUGCUGGAUUGGGGUUUUAGGGCAACUCUAACCGACCCCUAAAAAAUAAGGAGGAUCUGGCAGAGUAAAACCUUAGCAGAGUAUUUUUACUCCACUUAAGAUUUGGCCGGAUCUAGCAGAUCAUCAAUAUAUAACGGAGUAAAGUUAUUUUUUUUUGUUUAUGCACUUCGUCGAACAUCGUCAUGCGUGUCUAUGACGCUGGUGACCCAUAGAAGCCCUAGGCCAUCUCCCUCGGUCAUCGCCCAUGCACAUCUUUCUGGCCGCGUUCCUGCCGGCCGCCGUUGUAGUUCUAUACCUCAAGAUGCGGCCGCGCUUCGUGUACCUUGUCGACUACGCCUGCUUCCGCACCAAGCCCAGCCACCGCGUCCCCUUCGGCACAUUCCUCAAGCACGCCAAGCUUGUCACCUUCAUUGAGGGGGCCUCGAUUGACAAGCGCAUCAUCCGUUUCAUGACGCGGCUGCUGGAGCGAUCCGGGCUUGGGAAGGAGACGUGCCUGUCCCCGGCGCACCACUUCAUCCUGCCAUACCAAAACUUGGAGGCCUCGCACGAGGACGUGGAGCUCGUCAUCUUCUCUGCCAUUGACGACCUACUUGCCCAGACGAGCAUCAGCCCCGACGCCAUUGACUUCCUCGUCGUCAACUGCAGCCUCUUCGUGCCCAUCCCAUUCUUCACCGACUGAUCAUCCACAAGUACAGGAUGCGCAGCGACAUCUAUAAG